Molecule: ribosomal RNA, 254 nt
Filed under: uncultured bacterium
Lineage: Bacteria
Description: partial 16S ribosomal RNA
Rfam family: Bacterial small subunit ribosomal RNA
Source: RNAcentral
UACGUAGGGUGCGAGCGUUGUCCGGAAUUAUUGGGCGUAAAGAGCUCGUAGGCGGUCUGUCGCGUCGAUCGUGAAAACUUGGGGCUUAACCCUGAGCUUGCGGUCGAUACGGGCAUGACUGGAGUUCGGCAGGGGAGACUGGAAUUCCUGGUGUAGCGGUGGAAUGCGCAGAUAUCGGGAGGAACACCAGUGGCGAAGGCGGCACUCUGGGCCGGAACUGACGCUGAGGAGCGAAAGCGUGGGGAGCGAACAGG